Molecule: transfer-messenger RNA, 368 nt
Filed under: Flavipsychrobacter stenotrophus
Lineage: Bacteria; Pseudomonadati; Bacteroidota; Chitinophagia; Chitinophagales; Chitinophagaceae
Description: Standard tmRNA
Rfam family: transfer-messenger RNA
About the family: Bacterial tmRNA, also known as 10Sa RNA or SsrA, is named for its dual tRNA and mRNA-like properties. Its role is to liberate the mRNA from a stalled ribosome.
Source: Rfam by way of RNAcentral
GGGGCCGACCGGUUUUGACAGCAUAGGGCAGGGUCUGUAAGCAUGUCGUGCGUUGUGUAAUUAGCACGUAAAUCUGAAUACUCAAACCAUAUAAGGCGAAUAUUCUUACGCCAUGGCUGCCUAAUCAGAGAUUAGACACCCUUUAUAGCCGCCGGGAAGGUUGCCUGUGACCGUCCCCGCCGCCGAAUCAACAAAAUACGGGAUAGGUUGUGCAACGCUGUGAUGUACGAAUGAAAAUCAAAACAGAUAGGGAAGGGGUAGGUAUGUUCCUGUCCGGCUUCGUCCCGAGACCCAAUCAGGAAAUACACAUGUAGAAAGCUUAUCGGGCAUAUGUUUGGACGCGGGUUCGACUCCCGCCGGCUCCACAA